RNAcentral lists this ribosomal RNA (492 nucleotides) under uncultured bacterium. RNAcentral's name for it is "partial 16S ribosomal RNA". It matches the Rfam family "Bacterial small subunit ribosomal RNA", at positions 30 to 507 of the family's 1533-position model. The record is from RNAcentral.
AUUGAACGCUGGCGGCAUGCUUUACACAUGCAAGUCGAACGGUAACAGGCCUUCGGGUGCUGACGAGUGGCGAACGGGUGAGUAAUGCAUCGGAACGUGCCCAGAGGUGGGGGAUAACGCAGCGAAAGCUGUGCUAAUACCGCAUGUGAUCUGAGGAUGAAAGCGGGGGACCAGGCAGCAAUGUUUGGCCUCGCGCCUUUGGAGCGGCCGAUGUCAGAUUAGGUAGUUGGUGGGGUAAAGGCCUACCAAGCCGAGGAUCUGUAGCUGGUCUGAGAGGACGACCAGCCACACUGGGACUGAGACACGGCCCAGACUCCUACGGGAGGCAGCAGUGGGGAAUUUUGGACAAUGGGCGAAAGCCUGAUCCAGCAAUGCCGCGUGCGGGAAGAAGGCCUUCGGGUUGUAAACCGCUUUUGUACGGAACGAAAAGGAUCUGGCUAAUACCUGGGGCUGAUGACGGUACCGUAAGAAUAAGCACCGGCUAACUACGUG